GAUGAACGCUGGCGGCGUGCCUAAUACAUGCAAGUCGAGCGAACGGACGAGAAGCUUGCUUGUCUGAUGUUAGCGGCGGACGGGUGAGUAACACGUGGAUAACCUACCUAUAAGACUGGGAUAACUUCGGGAAACCGGAGCUAAUACCGGAGAAUAUUUUGAACCGCAUGGGUCAAAAGUGAAAGACGGUCUUGCUGGCACUUAUAGAUGGAUCCGCGCUUCAUUAGCUAGUUGGUAAGGUAACGGCUUACCAAGGCAACGAUGCAUAGCCGACCGGAGGGGGUGAUCGGCCACACUGGAACUGAGACACGGUCCAGACUCCUACGGUAGGCAGCAGUAGGGAAUCUUCCGCAAUGGGCGAAAGCCUGACGGAGCAACGCCGCGUGAGUGAUGACGGUCUUCGGAUCGUAAAACUCUGUUAUUAGGGAAGAACCUAUGUGUAAGUAACUGUGCACAUCUUGACGGUACCUAAUCAGAAAGCCACGGCUAACUACGUG
RNAcentral lists this ribosomal RNA (497 nucleotides) under uncultured bacterium. Its description in RNAcentral is "partial 16S ribosomal RNA". It matches the Rfam family "Bacterial small subunit ribosomal RNA", at positions 28 to 507 of the family's 1533-position model. The record is from RNAcentral.